UACGGAGGAUGCAAGCGUUAUCCGGAAUGAUUGGGCGUAAAGCGUCCGCAGGUGGCUAUGUAAGUCUGCUGUUAAAGAGUCUAGCUCAACUAGAUAAGAGCAGUGGAAACUACAUGGCUAGAGUGCGUUCGGGGCAGAGGGAAUUCCUGGUGUAGCGGUGAAAUGCGCAGAUAUCAGGAGGAACACCAAUGGCGAAGGCAGCUCGCUGGGACGGUACUGACGCUGAGGCGCGAAAGCGUGGGGAGCAAACAGG
RNAcentral lists this ribosomal RNA (253 nucleotides) under uncultured bacterium. RNAcentral describes it as "partial 16S ribosomal RNA". It matches the Rfam family "Bacterial small subunit ribosomal RNA", at positions 524 to 776 of the family's 1533-position model. The record is from RNAcentral.